UACGUAGGGUGCGAGCGUUGUCCGGAAUUAUUGGGCGUAAAGGGCGCGUAGGCGGCUUGGCAAGUGGAUGGUGAAAUCCCUCGGCUUAACCGAGGAACUGCCGUCCAAACUGCUUCGCUUGAGACCGGGAGAGGUGAGUGGAAUUCCCAGUGUAGCGGUGAAAUGCGUAGAUAUUGGGAGGAACACCAGUGGCGAAGGCGGCUCACUGGACCGGUACUGACGCUGAUGCGCGAAAGCGUGGGGAGCAAACGGG
This 253-nucleotide ribosomal RNA is filed under the name uncultured bacterium. Its description in RNAcentral is "partial 16S ribosomal RNA". It matches the Rfam family "Bacterial small subunit ribosomal RNA", at positions 524 to 776 of the family's 1533-position model. The record is from RNAcentral.